RNAcentral lists this non-coding RNA (45 nucleotides) under Schistosoma mansoni. The record is from RNAcentral. Lineage: Eukaryota; Metazoa; Platyhelminthes; Trematoda; Strigeidida; Schistosomatidae.
AUUCGGCUGACGAGUCCAAUAUAGGACGAAACGUGCGUCCUGAAU